AUACUUACCUGGCAGGGGAGAUACCAUGAUCACGAAGGUGGUUUCCCCAGGGCGAGGCUUACUCAUUGCACUCCGGGUAUGCUGACCCCUGCGAUUUCCCCAAAUGUGGGAAACUCGACUGCAUAAAA
Myotis lucifugus (little brown bat) is the source of this 128-nucleotide small nuclear RNA. Its record names the gene U1. It matches the Rfam family "U1 spliceosomal RNA". From Rfam's summary of the family: U1 is a small nuclear RNA (snRNA) component of the spliceosome (involved in pre-mRNA splicing). Its 5' end forms complementary base pairs with the 5' splice junction, thus defining the 5' donor site of an intron. Lineage: Eukaryota; Metazoa; Chordata; Mammalia; Chiroptera; Vespertilionidae. The record is from Ensembl.